CAAAAGCCCGGCCCUCACUUUAACAU
RNAcentral lists this ribosomal RNA (26 nucleotides) under Anguilla marmorata (giant mottled eel). RNAcentral describes it as "partial 12S ribosomal RNA". Lineage: Eukaryota; Metazoa; Chordata; Actinopteri; Anguilliformes; Anguillidae. The record is from RNAcentral.